AUGAACGCUGGCGGCGUGCCUAAUACAUGCAAGUCGAGCGAACAGACGAGGAGCUUGCUCCUCUGACGUUAGCGGCGGACGGGUGAGUAACACGUGGAUAACCUACCUAUAAGACUGGGAUAACUUCGGGAAACCGGAGCUAAUACCGGAUAAUAUAUUGAACCGCAUGGUUCAAUAGUGAAAGACGGUUUUGCUGUCACUUAUAGAUGGAUCCGCGCCGCAUUAGCUAGUUGGUAAGGUGACGGCUUACCAAGGCAACGAUGCGUAGCCGACCUGAGAGGGUGAUCGGCCACACUGGAACUGAGACACGGUCCAGACUCCUACGGGAGGCAGCAGUAGGGAAUCUUCCGCAAUGGGCGAAAGCCUGACGGAGCAACGCCGCGUGAGUGAUGAAGGUCUUCGGAUCGUAAAACUCUGUUAUUAGGGAAGAACAAAUGUGUAAGUAACUAUGCACGUCUUGACGGUACCUAAUCAGAAAGCCACGGCUAACUACGUG
RNAcentral lists this ribosomal RNA (496 nucleotides) under uncultured bacterium. Its description in RNAcentral is "partial 16S ribosomal RNA". It matches the Rfam family "Bacterial small subunit ribosomal RNA", at positions 29 to 507 of the family's 1533-position model. The record is from RNAcentral.